This 442-nucleotide ribosomal RNA is filed under the name Bacillus sp. F348. Its description in RNAcentral is "bacterial SSU rRNA". It matches the Rfam family "Bacterial small subunit ribosomal RNA", at positions 117 to 545 of the family's 1533-position model. Lineage: Bacteria; Bacillati; Bacillota; Bacilli; Caryophanales; Bacillaceae. RNAcentral also lists the same sequence under 1 other name. The record is from RNAcentral.
GUGGGCAACCUGCCUGUAAGACUGGGAUAACACCGGGAAACCGGUGCUAAUACCGGAUAAUCCUUUUCCUCUCAUGAGGAAAAGCUGAAAGUCGGUUUCGGCUGACACUUACAGAUGGGCCCGCGGCGCAUUAGCUAGUUGGUGAGGUAACGGCUCACCAAGGCGACGAUGCGUAGCCGACCUGAGAGGGUGAUCGGCCACACUGGGACUGAGACACGGCCCAGACUCCUACGGGAGGCAGCAGUAGGGAAUCUUCCACAAUGGACGAAAGUCUGAUGGAGCAACGCCGCGUGAGCGAUGAAGGCCUUCGGGUCGUAAAGCUCUGUUGUUAGGGAAGAACAAGUACCGGAGUAACUGCCGGUACCUUGACGGUACCUAACCAGAAAGCCACGGCUAACUACGUGCCAGCAGCCGCGGUAAUACGUAGGUGGCAAGCGUUGUC